Molecule: ribosomal RNA, 255 nt
Filed under: uncultured Actinomycetales bacterium
Lineage: Bacteria; Bacillati; Actinomycetota; Actinomycetes; Actinomycetales
Description: partial 16S ribosomal RNA
Rfam family: Bacterial small subunit ribosomal RNA
Source: RNAcentral
UUUUGUGGGGUGCUCGAGUGGCGAACGGGUGAGUAACACGUGAGUAACCUGCCCUUGACUUUGGGAUAACUUCAGGAAACUGGGGCUAAUACCGGAUAGGAGCUCCUGCUGCAUGGUGGGGGUUGGAAAGUUUCGGCGGUUGGGGAUGGACUCGCGGCUUACCAGCUUGUUAGUGGGGUAGUGGCUUACCAAGGCUUUGACGGGUAGCCGGCCUGAGAGGGUGACCGGCCACAUUGGGACUGAGAUACGGCCCAG